RNAcentral lists this transfer RNA (71 nucleotides) under Lumbricus rubellus (humus earthworm). Its description in RNAcentral is "tRNA-Arg". The record is from RNAcentral. Lineage: Eukaryota; Metazoa; Annelida; Clitellata; Crassiclitellata; Lumbricidae.
AACAGCUGACAAUUAGCAUUUCAUGCGCAUCGAUUUCGGCUCGAUGAGAGCCUACAGGCAUUUGUUUUUUU